GAGGGCUUAGCUUAAUUAAAGUGUUUGUUUUGCAUACAAUUGAUGUAAGUUUGUAGGCUUGCAGUCCUUA
This 70-nucleotide transfer RNA is filed under the name Echimys chrysurus (White-faced spiny tree-rat). RNAcentral's name for it is "tRNA-Ala". It matches the Rfam family "tRNA". Rfam says of the family: Transfer RNA (tRNA) molecules are approximately 80 nucleotides in length. Their secondary structure includes four short double-helical elements and three loops (D, anti-codon, and T loops). The record is from RNAcentral. Lineage: Eukaryota; Metazoa; Chordata; Mammalia; Rodentia; Echimyidae.